UUUGCUAUUGGAUAAUCAUGUCAUUGAAGAACCAAUCGCGCGCUGUAUCCAAGAGGAAUAGACCAUUUGGGCCUAAAUCAAGGUUUUUGAAGGCAAGGAGCUGUGAUUGGUGAAUUCAGGUGAAGCAGAUGGAGGCAGAGCUGUGGAGUCACCUCUCUGCACUCAAGGUAGAGAUCGAAGAGAACGGAGGAGCAGGAUCUUCUAAUGCCUACAGUUCUGUUCUACCUCCUAAAGAUAUUUCCUUCUUUCGUGUGGAGAGGGAGCAUGCACUGAGGAGAGGGCUUCAGGUGGCUGAUGUUUUGCCGACUCGGUCUCAGGCUGAUAUCAUGCAGCGAGAGCUGGAGAGCUGCUUGAGUUUUGAGUACACUCCUGACAGUCUGCCUCUUCUGCUGCACCAGUUCUUCACAGACAGAUCUUAUCACUUGGCUCAGAUCAGAUAUCUGCUCAUGCUGAGAUGGAGGAGAUUUUGCCGCCAUGCCAGCGUUAUUGAGAAGCUUUAUCCCCAUUAUAAGGUUGCCAUGUGUAAACGAACAGCAUGACCUAGCAGUGUUUUAACAAUACUCUAAAAAAAUACAUCUUUUCACUGUACUUUUGUACUGGUUUGUGGUUAUUUUCUGCAUUUUAUUCUGUAUCUACCUUUAA
Long non-coding RNA from Oreochromis aureus, 642 nucleotides. The record is from Ensembl. Lineage: Eukaryota; Metazoa; Chordata; Actinopteri; Cichliformes; Cichlidae.